Long non-coding RNA from Prinia subflava (tawny-flanked prinia), 1530 nucleotides. RefSeq lists it as uncharacterized. The transcript has 2 exons. Lineage: Eukaryota; Metazoa; Chordata; Aves; Passeriformes; Cisticolidae. The record is from RefSeq and is a predicted model, not a curated record.
UAUUCUGGCAUACUCAGUUUUACUGUGGGACAGAGGGUACUUUCUGCCUUACUGAGAGGCACUUACAUGAGAAUAGGCAAAAAUCCUGGUAAUUAAUCACAUCAGCAGAUACCCUAGAAAGUAUGGUGCAGAGCUGGAAACUCCCAUCACCUUUAGGCCCGUAAAAAACAAAGAAACACAGGAGCAAAGGAGCAAUUUUUUUCAUGGUAGCCUACAGGUUUAAAGAUACAGAAUGAAGCUGAACACCUGAGAGAAUUAGUGGCCACACUCUACAGAGUGCAUUAGAAUACACUAGAAACUCUGCACCACACUCUCCCCAGGCUGUUUAACAUCUAAAACAAGAGAAAAAACAACAGAAUUGAAAAGAAGGAAAAGCGGAGAAAUGAAGAUUAGGUCUGGCACAGACCCAUUAUUCAUUUCCUUCUCCCCCUAUCAUUUAUCUUCACUUCUAGCCCCCAGUUGUUAUGUAAGGCUGCCCUGGCUUUCCAUCAGGGCACAGAUCUGCAAGCCCAGAUGAGAUAUUCAUGACUGCCACACUUGGAGUCUUCCCUCCAGCACAUGGAGGUUUAAAUUAGUUCUUUGGUUAUACCCUGCUGUUUCCAGUCUGUGUUCUCCUCCAAUCCCUACUUAUUCCUGUACUAGAACACACUCUCCAACCCACUGCUUUCAUAUAUAUUCUAUUAAUAAAUUAAAACCUUGCUAACUUUUCUUUCUGUUAACUGCAUAUCAGCCUUGCUGCCUCAUUUUCCAGACCUCCAACCUUUUUUUCUGGUUUUGCUUCCCUGCUGUGUCUCUAAUUUUUCCAGGUCAGAAACCUUGCAUUACUCUUUAUUAGGAAGCAUUUUUUCCAAGUCCCAAAUGGUAAGAAACUGCCUCACCCUCUUUACUUUUCAGUGAGAAUUAUGAAUUACCUUUUUAUUUCUCAACUUCUCCCUUUAAAUCCAUCCUGACAGCCUGUACAUCAUAAAUGAUGUUUUAGCCCAGACUCCUCCAGUAACUAUUCACAAAUACUUUUUUUUUUUUAUGAAGAAGGGAGAAAAAUCUUUUGUGGGUCACUUCCUCCUGCAGUACAGGCAGGUACUCUAGUAAGUGAGCAUGCUAAUAAGAACAUACCAUGGGCACAUAGGGGAGCAUGCAAAAGCUCUGACAAAGAGCUGCAUAGCAGUGGUCUCUUUGCAGCCGAUUGUGGCAGCUGACUGACUAUCUGUGUUUAUUAUGCAUCGAAGUUACAGCUUAUACAUUGGCGAAUAAAAUCUUAGUGUGGGAUCAGAAAACACACUGCUGAACAAAGCUGAUUUGUAACAGCUCUUGGACACAUACUUAAUAUUUGAGCAUAUGCUGUAACAUUUCUGCCUCACACUAGAAUGCACUUUUUUUUUUUUCCAUUCAUCUCGCUGUUCUGAAUAAAGUGGGUUAACUCUGGAGGCAGAUGGGAGCUCAGCCAAUGCUGCCUGAUUACCAGACUGAUACAACAGGCAUUCCUGUACGGGAAUAAAAUAGUAAAAGUCAAUUUUGAGGAACUCUGGCAAA